CUACGAAUAUUCUCGCUGUUCAGAUUCUGUGAUAUUCAGGACAGGCUAGACAUUUGCUAUAGUAAGGCCACGCAUGUGUCCCCAGACCUAGGUCUUUACCCAGGUCUGGUUUUCUAAAUGCUGGUGACAAGC
Molecule: small nucleolar RNA, 132 nt
Organism: Acomys russatus (golden spiny mouse)
Lineage: Eukaryota; Metazoa; Chordata; Mammalia; Rodentia; Muridae
Product: small nucleolar RNA SNORA72
Exons: 1
Source: RefSeq, a predicted model, not a curated record